CUACGGGUGGCUCCAGUGAGGAAUUUUGCGCAAUGGGGGAAACCCUGACGCAGCAACGCCGCGUGAGCGAAGAAGGCCUUCGGGUCGUAAAGCUCUGUCAAGUGGGAAAAAAGCCUUUUGAUUAAUACCCAAAAGGUUUGAUGGUACCACUGGAGGAAGCACCGGCUAACUCCGUGCCAGCAGCCGCGGUAAUACGGAGGGUGCAAGCGUUGUUCGGAUUUACUGGGCGUAAAGGGCGUGCAGGCGGUUUGGCAAGUCAGAUGUGAAAGCCCUGGGCUUAACCCGGGAAGUGCAUUUGAAACUGCCUUUCUUGAGUAUGGGAGAGGAGAGUGGAAUUCCCAGUGUAGAGGUGAAAUUCGUAGAUAUGGGGAGGAACACCCGUGGCGAAGGCGACUCUCUGGACCAAUACUGACGCUGAGACGCGAAAGCGUGGGGAGCAAACAGGAUUAGAUACCCCAGUAGUC
This 464-nucleotide ribosomal RNA is filed under the name uncultured bacterium. Its description in RNAcentral is "partial 16S ribosomal RNA". It matches the Rfam family "Bacterial small subunit ribosomal RNA", at positions 339 to 795 of the family's 1533-position model. The record is from RNAcentral.